GACGAACGCUGGCGGCGUGCUUAACACAUGCAAGUCGAACGGAAAGGCCCUGCUUUUGUGGGGUGCUCGAGUGGCGAACGGGUGAGUAACACGUGAGUAACCUGCCCUUGACUUUGGGAUAACUUCAGGAAACUGGGGCUAAUACCGUAUAGGAGCUCCUGCUGCAUGGUGGGGGUUGGAAAGUUUCGGCGGUUGGGGAUGGACUCGCGGCUUAUCAGCUUGUUGGUGGGGUAGUGGCUUACCAAGGCUUUGACGGGUAGCCGGCCGUAGAGGGUGACCGGCCACAUUGGGACUGAGAUACGGCCCAGACUCCUACGGGAGGCAGCAGUGGGGAAUAUUGCACAAUGGGCGGAAGCCUGAUGCAGCAACGCCGCGUGCGGGAUGACGGCCUUCGGGUUGUAAACCGCUUUCGCCUGUGACGAAGCGUGAGUGACGGUAAUGGGUAAAGAAGCACCGGCUAACUACGUG
This 468-nucleotide ribosomal RNA is filed under the name uncultured bacterium. Its description in RNAcentral is "partial 16S ribosomal RNA". It matches the Rfam family "Bacterial small subunit ribosomal RNA", at positions 28 to 507 of the family's 1533-position model. The record is from RNAcentral.